UACGUAGGGUGCGAGCGUUGUCCGGAAUUAUUGGGCGUAAAGAGCUCGUAGGCGGUGUGUCACGUCGUUCGUGAAAACCUGCAGCUUAACUGUGGGCGUGCGGUCGAUACGGGCAUCACUGGAGUUCGGCAGGGGAGACUGGAAUUCCUGGUGUAGCGGUGAAAUGCGCAGAUAUCAGGAGGAACACCGGUGGCGAAGGCAGCUCGCUGGGACGUUACUGACACUGAGGCGCGAAAGCGUGGGGAGCGAACAGG
This 254-nucleotide ribosomal RNA is filed under the name uncultured bacterium. RNAcentral describes it as "partial 16S ribosomal RNA". It matches the Rfam family "Bacterial small subunit ribosomal RNA", at positions 524 to 776 of the family's 1533-position model. The record is from RNAcentral.